UACGUAGGGUGCAAGCGUUGUCCGGAAUUAUUGGGCGUAAAGAGCUUGUAGGCGGUUUGUCGCGUCUGCUGUGAAAUUUCGGGGCUCAACCCCGAACUUGCAGUGGGUACGGGCAGACUGGAGUGCGGUAGGGGAGAAUGGAAUUCCUGGUGUAGCGGUGGAAUGCGCAGAUAUCAGGAGGAACACCGAUGGCGAAGGCAGUUCUCUGGGCCGUAACUGACGCUGAGGAGCGAAAGCGUGGGGAGCGAACAGG
RNAcentral lists this ribosomal RNA (253 nucleotides) under uncultured bacterium. RNAcentral describes it as "partial 16S ribosomal RNA". It matches the Rfam family "Bacterial small subunit ribosomal RNA", at positions 524 to 776 of the family's 1533-position model. The record is from RNAcentral.